UGGGGAAUAUUGGACAAUGGGGGAAACCCUGAUCCAGCCAUGCCGCGUGAGUGAUGAAGGCCCUAGGGUUGUAAAGCUCUUUUGUGCGGGAAGAUAAUGACGGUACCGCAAGAAUAAGCCCCGGCUAACUUCGUGCCAGCAGCCGCGGUAAUACGAAGGGGGCUAGCGUUGCUUGGAAUCACUGGGCGUAAAGGGUGCGUAGGCGGAUCUUUAAGUCAGGGGUGAAAUCCCGGGGCUCAACCCCGGAACUGCCUUUGAUACUGGAGAUCUUGAGUUCGGGAGAGGUGAGUGGAACUGCGAGUGUAGAGGUGAAAUUCGUAGAUAUUCGCAAGAACACCAGUGGCGAAGGCGGCUCACUGGCCCGAUACUGACGCUGAGGCACGAAAGCGUGGGGAGCAAACA
This 402-nucleotide ribosomal RNA is filed under the name uncultured bacterium. Its description in RNAcentral is "bacterial SSU rRNA". It matches the Rfam family "Bacterial small subunit ribosomal RNA", at positions 355 to 774 of the family's 1533-position model. The record is from RNAcentral.